Molecule: long non-coding RNA, 305 nt
Filed under: Brassica napus (rape)
Lineage: Eukaryota; Viridiplantae; Streptophyta; Magnoliopsida; Brassicales; Brassicaceae
Description: long non-coding RNA (BNAP_LNC017291)
Source: RNAcentral
UGAGGAGGUGUGGCUUGCGUUUUUGAGAGAAGAAAAAUUUAAUUGAUAAAUAGGGUUUUGUUUAAUACGUGUAUUAAAUAAAGUAAAGAAUAUGUUAAAAAAUUGGGUUUUUAGUGAUAAAUCCCUCCAACUAAAUAUUUUUCGUAAAAAAUUUCCCCAACUUAUUAUCUUGUAAUUUAACCCCUCAAGUUCUUUUCCGUUAGAUUUUGUUACCCUCCGUCUAUUGUUCUGUUAUUUAUGGACGGAUACCGUUUACACUCAAACGCAGAGUUUCAUUUUAGUGAUAAAUCCCCCAACUAAAGAUU